RNAcentral lists this ribosomal RNA (403 nucleotides) under bacterium. RNAcentral describes it as "partial 16S ribosomal RNA". It matches the Rfam family "Bacterial small subunit ribosomal RNA", at positions 355 to 776 of the family's 1533-position model. The record is from RNAcentral.
UGGGGAAUAUUGCACAAUGGGGGAAACCCUGAUGCAGCGACGCCGCGUGAACGAAGAAGGUAUUCGUAUCGUAAAGUUCUGUCCUAUGGGAAGAUAAUGACAGUACCAUAGAAGAAAGCUCCGGCUAAAUACGUGCCAGCAGCCGCGGUAAUACGUAUGGAGCGAGCGUUGUCCGGAAUUAUUGGGCGUAAAGGGUACGCAGGCGGUUUAAUAAGUCGAAUGUUAAAGAUCGGGGCUCAACCCCGUAAAGCAUUGGAAACUGAUAAACUUGAGUAGUGGAGAGGAAAGUGGAAUUCCUAGUGUAGUGGUGAAAUACGUAGAUAUUAGGAGGAAUACCAGUAGCGAAGGCGACUUUCUGGACACAAACUGACGCUGAGGUACGAAAGCGUGGGGAGCAAACAAG